Long non-coding RNA from Anas platyrhynchos (mallard), 2717 nucleotides. RefSeq lists it as uncharacterized. The record is from RefSeq and is a predicted model, not a curated record. NCBI's taxonomy places the organism in Eukaryota, Metazoa, Chordata, Aves, Anseriformes, Anatidae.
UGCCGUAACGAGCCCCUGGCCUGCUGGGCACGUUUGAGGCAAGGAGGAAAGCAGCAGUUACCCAUUUGUGUAACGAAGCAGUGGGGUGGCUUCCUAGCCUUGUAUUGAGCAGGGAGGUGUGGAGCCACCAGCCCUUGAGGUGCUGGGUAAGAAGGGAAGGAGUAGGGUAUGGCCUCCUGUGCCUAGCAGCUCCAACCCGAGGUGGUGGCAUGUUAGGCACUUGCAAGGUCAGAGCAGUCACCGGUAGGCCUUGGCCUGCUUGCUUGGUCAGAGGGGCAGGGAACGGCUAGCACCUGGGAAAUGCCUUCCAGAGUAAGGGGCUGGGAAGGCUGGCUUGGGUCAGAGGCAGUGGGACUGUGUUUUGCCACAAAUUCAGUGGAGGGCCUCUGUUUCUCCCUUUUCCCUUACCUUCUCGCUAACCUUACUCGCCCUGCUCCUUAGCACUGUAAAAUUGCUGUCCUUUCUACAAGCUGAGUGAGCCAGCAGCUUGGUGCUCUGAAGUGCUCUGAAUCUGAACUCCUGAGGGGGACACGCAGUGCCAGCUAAGCAGGCUGCUCUUUAAAGCAGCACUCAGAUGGGACUGGUGGCACUGUUUGUUAGGAAAAGAAAUGCACUUCUACUCUUCCUUCAGCUGGAAAUCUGCUCUGAGAGAGCAUUACUAAUUUAAGAUCUCAGGUAUCGUCAGUGUUUCAGCAGCAAUCUGGUUGUCUGUUUGCUACGUUCUGGCCUCCAGAAAUUGCUACAGCACUUGUUAAAAGUCACCAUUUUAUCAUGUCAUUUUCUGCAAGGAGGUAAGCACAGGGUGCAUCGAUACCGGGACAAAGAAAAGAAACAAGGGAAGGGUGUCAAAUCCUGUCAAGGGAUAUGACCUUUUUGUCGCAAAGCGUGUGUACAACCACUUCAGAGUCUGAUUUUCCUAGUUGUUCAUAUGGUACCGAGACUAUUCACUUACUAAUCUAGUCAUCAGCUGCUUCUUUUCUUGAUAAAAAGGGAUUAGGAAAAUGCAGCAUCUGCCGUGUAAACUGAAGGAUGGAUGCAAUCGGAAUACAAGCCCUCCUCCCGCUUCCCUAUAGGAGAUGCCGUGAUGCGAGAGGGAGUGUUUCUGUUGAGCCUGUCACACAGAACCCAGUCCUUCCCAUUCUGCUAGAGCCUGCACCAUCAAGAGCUUAACACAUGCAGCUCACGGUGUGUCCUGCUUGCCUUACACUUGUUCUUUCUUACAGAGAAGAUGUGAAAGAAGAAUAAAAGAUGUGGAGGCUGCUUUCAAAGGUUUUGCAGUGUGCGUCCCUUAACCAUUGUGAUUUUAGGUCUUUUUCCUUCUCCAGAGCGCUGUGUUUGUCACUUUGCCCAGGAGAAGCACUGUGCCAGCCUUCUUGGGACAGGCUCUGGCCUUCCCCUCCUUCAAGUAUCCCUACAGAUGCUGUCUAUUCAAAGUGCUUUCUGCAAGCCCUACCCUAUGCAUUUAUACUCUCUUGUGAAAAAGCAGCCUAUGUUUCCUAUCAUGCUGCUUCAGGCACUUACAUUCCAUCUGGGUUGCAUUGCCCUUUAAUUAUCAGUCGUCUUAUUGUGAUCAAGUGAACUUUUACUAAUCUCCACAUUUAUUGUUAAGGUAAAUAGAUGCUGCUUUUAAUCAAUACAGAGGGCCACACCAAUGCAGUUCGACGUAACUUAAGUCAACUGUAAAGAGUUCAAUGUGUGUAUAAUUACAGAGGACGUCGGCUAUUCACUCCAGCCUAAUUCAGUGUCUCUUCAGAGGCAGACCUCUUCGCUUCCCCAUCCCGCUCUCACCUCACAUGCUGCCCCCACCCCAAGGAGGUAAGAGAGGAGCGGCAGGGGCCGGCAAGCCACAGCCCUGCUGAACCUCGGGCUGCUCGGCAGAUUGGAGCUGCCGGGUGAGCACAAGCCUCCGGGUACAAUGCGGCACUUCCUUCCAACAAAAAAGAUUGAUUGCAUCUUGGCCUUGGUAUUAAAUGUGCUAUUAUCAGAAGAAGCUGAAAUAAUGCAUACAGUUGCUGUAAAAGAAAGCAGGUUUCCUUUGCGAACAUACCUAUUAUUUCAAUAGUACUUGAGAACUGUUUCAAUAGUGGCCAGGUUGUUGCUUACUGAAAUACAUUUGAAUUGAAUACAUAUAUAUCAAGGUUUUUUCUUAAUUUUAGUUUGAGUUAUUCCUGAAGUUCUCAUUAAAUUUACCAUUUGUAAAGGACAGAUUAAAUGAAAAUGGCUUUCAGAAAAAUAGAGCUGGAAAUUAUUUUGGCCUUUCUGACCUGGAAGAGGUGAUAAUUUGCAGCAGCACUACAUAUUGGACAUGUCUGACAUUUUAGGUAUUCCCUCACAGUUUCAGACCUUUGUACAGAUGAACUCCGUCUGGGACAACCCAGCAGUCAACUUUUUGUUACCUUAAUGUAAAUGAGAGGACUGCAGCUGUCUUAAGCAAUCUAGGCAGACAACACCGAUGGAAAUGAAACUCGGAACACUUACAGAAAUCUCUCUCCACUGACUUUUCCAAAUGUAAACAACCUAUACAGCGUUUUCUAAUGUAAAACAAAUGUGACAUGAUGAAUCAAAAUAUAGGUCUGAGAGGAAGAGGCAGCAGCGUCCUCAAGCUCUUUCGGAGUACCCCCACACAUAAACUGGUAGGUAACACCACAUAGCCAGGUGGCGUAGUCCCUACCCAGCUUGAUACUCACUGGCCUCGAGAGAAACCCUACCUGAGUAAG